AACGAACGCUGGCGGCAGGCCUAACACAUGCAAGUCGAGCGAGGACUUCGGUCCUAGCGGCGGACGGGUGAGUAACGCGUGGGAACGUGCCCUUUGCUUCGGAAUAGCCCUGGGAAACUGGGAGUAAUACCGGAUGAGCCCUUUGGGGUAAAGAUUUAUCGGCGAAGGAUCGGCCCGCGUUGGAUUAGGUAGUUGGUGGGGUAAUGGCCUACCAAGCCGACGAUCCAUAGCUGGUUUGAGAGGAUGAUCAGCCACACUGGGACUGAGACACGGCCCAGACUCCUACGGGAGGCAGCAGUGGGGAAUCUUAGACAAUGGGGGAAACCCUGAUCGAGCCAUGCCGCGUGAGCGAUGAAGGCCUUAGGGUUGUAAAGCUCUUUCAGCUGGGAAGAUAAUGACGGUACCAGCAGAAGAAGCCCCGGCUAACUCCGUG
Molecule: ribosomal RNA, 433 nt
Filed under: uncultured bacterium
Lineage: Bacteria
Description: partial 16S ribosomal RNA
Rfam family: Bacterial small subunit ribosomal RNA
Source: RNAcentral